This is a long non-coding RNA of Cyanistes caeruleus (blue tit), 1948 nucleotides long. Ensembl annotates it as lin-37 DREAM MuvB core complex component. Lineage: Eukaryota; Metazoa; Chordata; Aves; Passeriformes; Paridae. The record is from Ensembl.
UACGGGGCGCGGGGCAUGACGGGAGUUGUAGUGCGGGAGGGGCGGGGUCUGCAAUGCUUCGCUACGAGCGCCGCGGGGCAUGACGGGAGUUGUAGUGCGGGAGGGGCGGGGUCUGCAAUGCUUCGCUACGGGCGCCGCGGGGCAUGACGGGAGUUGUAAACGGAUAACGAGGGAUUUCACGGUGCGCCAGGGAUGAUCGGGGUUGUAGGCCGGGCCGUAAUGCGUCCAGGGCUGUUGGAGGCCUGGGGAGGAAUUUAUGGGCACUUUCGGGUCGUGGGGGGAUAUUUGGGGGGAAUUUGGGGGCGUGUACCCCGGGAGGGGAGAGCUGAGUAGCGAGGGCUGUGUAGGCCCGGCUCUAAUGGCGCCCCGGGCAGCCGCGGUGCGAGAUGGGAGGUGUAGUCAAAAAGACAAAAUGGCGCCGCCUCGAGGCACCGCCCCCGAGGCCGCUGAGUGGUUGUGCGCUGUGAUUGACGUGCGCGGCGCCCAAUGAGAAGCGGCGCCGGGGGAAGGCGGGAAGCGGCGGCGGCUGAGGGCGGCGGUGAGGGGGGGUCGCGGAUUUCGGGAGAAUUUGAGGAGAUUUUGGGGGAUUUUUGGGAAUUUUUGGAAGUUUUGGGGGAUUUUGGGAUUCUCCGUUACCUCUCCACCCCUCACAGACCCCAGAGACGCGUCCGGAGCGGCGAUGGCCGCCAAGGUGAAGGUGGAGAAGCCAGAGCUGGAGGCGGCGGCGGCGCGGCGACGUCUCGACGCCGUCCUGGAGCAGCUCCUGCAGCGCGGGCCCAGGGAGCCGCUGGAGGAGGAGCCUGGGAAAGCCCCCGGGGACCCCCCGGCCAAGGAGGCCUCGCCCAGCGCUCCGGGAAAAAGGCCGCCCGGGCGAUUCCCGCAGCAGCGACGGAAGAAGAGGAGAGAGGGGGGGGAGGGGCUGGAGCCGCCUCCCCAAAAACAGAGUGAGCCCAAAAACCCGGAAUUGUCACCCAAAAACCGGGAAUUGUCACCCAAAAACCCAGAAUUGUCACCCAAAAUCUGGGAAUUGUGACCCAAAAUUGGGAAUUGUCACCCAAAAUUGGGAAUUGUCACCCAAAAAUGGGAAUUGUCACCAAAAAACCGGGAAUUGUCACCCGAAAACCGGGAAUUGUCACCCAAAAUUGGGAAUUGUCACCCAAAAUCUGGGAAUUGUCACCCAAAAUUGGGAAUUGUCACCCGAAAACCUGGAAUUGUGACCCAAUAAUUGGGAAUUGUCACCCAAAAUUGGGAAUUGUCACCAAAAACCGGGAAUUGUCACCCAAAAACCCAGAAUUGUCACCCAGAAUCGGGAAUUGUCACCCAAAAACCGGGAAUGGUCACCCAAAAACCCGGAAUUGGCACCCAAAAUCGGGAAUUGUCACCCAAAAACCCGGAAUUCUGACCCAAAAUUGGGAAUUGUGGCCCAAAAACUGGGAAUUCUCACCCAAAAUUGAGAAUUGUGGCCCAAAAAUUGGGAAUUCUGACCCAAAAUUGGGAAUUGUCACCCAAAACCGGGAAUUGUGACCCAAAAACCGGGAAUUGUCACCCAAAAUCGGGAACUGUCACCCAAAAUCCGGGAAUUGUCACCCAAAAUUGGGAAUUCUCACACAAAAACCGGGAAUUGUGACCCAAAAACCCGGAAUUGUCACCCAAAAUUGGGAAUUGUCACCCAAAAUUGGGAAUUCUGACCCCAAAAUGGGGAACUGGGAAUCGGGGCUGGGUUUUGGGGUGAUUUUGAGGUGUUUAGGGUCAUUUUGGGGUGAUUUCGGGUGGUUUUGGGAUGAUUUUGGGGUAAUUUUGGGUGGUUUUGGGUGAUUUUGGGUGUUUCUAGGGUUUUUAGGGUGUUUAGGGUGUUUUUUGGGGUGUUUUUGUGUCAUUUAGGGGUGUUUUUGGGGUGAUUUUGGGUGGUUUUGGGUCAAUUUGUGCCAUUUCUGGGGUGAUUUUGGCU